UACGUAGGGGGCAAGCGUUGUCCGGAAUCAUUGGGCGUAAAGGGCGCGUAGGUGGCCCGGUCAGUCUUUGGUGAAAGCGCGGGGCUCAACCCUGCGUCGGCCAGGGAUACUGCCGCGGCUCGAGCACUGUAGAGGCAGGCGGAAUUCCGGGGGUAGCGGUGGAAUGCGUAGAGAUCCGGAAGAACACCGGUGGCGAAGGCGGCCUGCUGGGCAGUUUAGCUGACACUGAGGCGCGACAGCGUGGGGAGCAAACAGG
Molecule: ribosomal RNA, 256 nt
Filed under: uncultured bacterium
Lineage: Bacteria
Description: partial 16S ribosomal RNA
Rfam family: Bacterial small subunit ribosomal RNA
Source: RNAcentral